This is a long non-coding RNA of Neofelis nebulosa (Clouded leopard), 4082 nucleotides long. RefSeq lists it as uncharacterized. The record is from RefSeq and is a predicted model, not a curated record. Lineage: Eukaryota; Metazoa; Chordata; Mammalia; Carnivora; Felidae. The transcript has 2 exons.
UGCUAAUAGAUUGAAAUAGGACUGAAAUUACUUCGUUUUCUCCUAGAAGUCAGACUAUGUAGAGCUUUAUAGUCCAUAAACUAAGUAGGCAGUGAGACCUGUGUUCUUGAAGAGUGAGGUUGGCCCACUUGGGCGGGGCUCAGUGUAACAGCUCCGCUUUCCACUAGAUGGCGCUGCUAGCCCACUGGGGUGGACUGCUGCAGGGCUUGUAGGUGCGUGUGCGCAUGUGCAGGAAUGGUGAAAAUGUCGUCACCCAGUUGCCCAGUCUCUAGUAUGGGAACUCCUUUCCCUCAGAUCAACAAUUGUGCACCCGUCCUCUGUCUUCAGCUUUUGUCCACACCCCGCUUCUUCACUAUCCGUGACCAAGCCCCAGGUAGUACCCCUCUCCCGAGUCUUGUCUUAGAUGCGGCUAUUUUUCCCGGCCCCCUACUUCUGAAGGACUGUGACUUUGACCCGUUCCGCCCCUCUGUGGGAGGGUCUCACCAAGCAAUGGCCGAAUGCAGGCUGCACCUAGGAACACCUGCUGGACCCUGCUGCUGCCAUUGAGACUGCGGCCAGGUGCCAGCCUGCCCCAGAAAAAGUUCAUGAGUUAUUGUAGCAGCAGCUUUUCAGGGAUUAUGGAAAAUCACAACGCGCAUCUGGCACCAGGCUUCACACUUAACGACCUUGUUCCAGCACCAGCGAAUGUCGCCGUUUUCUGGGGUCUACUGGGACCAGGUGGCCACAGUCUCUACGAAAUGCCCUUCCAGCAGUGGAACUUCUUUUCCCCGUGUGGCUCGAGAACCUCCCGGACCCCACUCUGCUCCUGGGGAUUCGCCCUUCCCACCAGAGCACUGCCAGCUAUUCCAAGCUGACCCUCUGAUGGCUUCUGGCAUAGACUCACUCUCCCUGGAAAAGUGAAGGAAUUUUCACAGACCUUGUGCAUGACAUCCACAUCUUCACCAAGGCUCUCUUUUCUCUAUCUUCCUCCAUCUUCUCCAUGGCUGAUUGGAGAUUGGAAUAAAUCUAGUGUUCUAGUAAUGACCACUGGGCUCUUGAUUUCAAUUUCUUUAUCCCUGUACCAUGCUCCCUUCUCUACUCCAGUAAGUUUUUUUCUACCCAUAGACUUGGGAUCUGGUACACAAGGGAAGAACUCUGGGUGUAUGAGUAGGUCAGAAGAUCAAACAUCCUCACCUGUUUUCCUCUUCUCACUGUUUUGGUCCAGUCCCAGGUCUGGGUAUUGACCCAUGUUCCCAUUUCACUCAUUCUAAGUAGUGUCCUUCUCUGGUGUCCCCUCCUCUCUAGAACUGGAGUCCUGACCUUAACUAUGUAUUAUUUGACUAGCUGGACCAGUUCUCCUGAGAGUGGACCAUCUUUCUGCUUGGGGUUAGUGUAUAUUUACAGAUCUCGUGUUAAUCAACUAUUUCUUACUUGACAAUCAAGUAUGCAGCUGUCAUCUGGUUGCUUUCUUCUACCUUCUUAAUUAUAAAUCAUAAUGCUAACUAGUUCCAGAACCUUUGUUGGUGAAAGUUGGAUCGUAAAACACUGUGUCUUGACCACGUGGGCUUCUUCUCUGGAAUGAUCUGGGAAUAUGUUCCUCGGACUCCCUCCUUCUUGUCUGGGUCUCAGUCAUGUCCUUAUUCGACCCCCUUCCCUUUCUCUCCGCCUCCCUUCUGGCACACUGUAGGCUUUUAAUCAUCUGUUAAGUAAUGAAAAUAACUUGAGUUAAUAAAAUAUUAACACAGUAACAUUCAUUUAUUAUAAAAAUUUGGUUUUAACUAACACCAAAUUUUAACUUCCAGACUUAAGUGGAACACAAUUUUGAAUCCCUCUCGGAGAUUCAGAUUUACUUUCACUGAGGUUGUGUCAAUUUCAUGAACCUUUCUGAAGUCAGAAAUGUCUUUUCAGGAUGGAAGUGAGAACAAUGAUAGAUCUUGUGUGUAUUCCCCAUGAGGAUCAAUCAAUGCACAUUUCCACGCACUUUCUUCCAAUCAGAAGUGAGUGGUUUUUCCUAUUUUUUUUCCCUUUAGCUUAGGUUGGAAAGUGAUUUUUACUGGUAAAUUUAAUUUUACAUAACCUUGGUUCUAUUACUGUCUCUGAUCUAAUCACUUUUAAAAAGAGAAUUGAAAGGCACCUGGGUGGCUCAGUCAGUUAAGCAUCUGACUCUUGAUUUCAGCUCAGGUCAUGAUCUCAUGGUUCAUGGGUUUGAGCCCCACGUUGGGCUCUGCACUGAAAGCAUGGAGCUUUUUUGGGAUUCUCUCUCUCCCUCUCUCUGCCCCUCUUCCUCUCAUACUCUCUCUCAAAAAUAAAUAAAUAAAUAAACUAAAUUUAAAAAAGAUUUGAAACUACUUUAAUGACAGCCUACCCGAAUGCCUGACAUUUGACCAUUACCUGAUAAUAUUUUAAGACAGAGAUAUAAUUUCUUUACAUCCUACUCCCAAAGUUAUGUGCUUCAAAAGUACAGGUACCUUUGUUAUUCCUGGAAGUGAGAAAAGCUUUGAGAAUACUGUGCCUCUGCUCUCUGAUCCCCAGAGCCUUUAACAUAAUAAUGAUGCUUGCAUUUAUGUACCAUUUUAUGCAUUUAAAAAAUGCUUUCACAUACUCUUCUUGUAGCAGCCUAGCAAAAUAAAAGAGCAUGAAUUUUGGCGUUAGGCAACCUUAGACUUAAAGCCCAGUUAGCAUCCUACCAUCUGUGUGGUCUUGGUCAUGUUCCUUAAUCUGUCUGCGCUCAUUUUUUCAAUUCAAAAAAUGGGGGAGAUGCUACUUAUUUAGGGAAGUUGGGAGGAUUAAAUCACAUAAUAUAUGCACUGUUACUGGCACAUGUAGACUUUCAGUACCUCCUGGUUUGAUAGCAACCUGGGGAGAUUGAGAGGAGUUGAAAUAAUAACCAACAUAAAUAACUUGCAGGGACUUUUUAUAUGUGUAAUAGGUAAGUAUUUCCUUCUCACACAUCAGCACAAGAAAUGUUAUUUUGGUUUAAUUUUUUAAGUCAAAUAAAAUCUCUAUGCCCCUACUCUCUGUGGAGGUGAGAAAUUAAAUCUCAGUCAUAUGUUUUAGUGUCUUCUCACUCCUUGGAUUCCAAAUUUGGAGGGGGAAAAGAAGGAUGCUUGUGUGCAUAUAGAAAGAUGUGGGAGGUGGAAUGGCCCUCCCAGUUCUUAUAGCUCCUCUUUCUGCAAGAGCUACUUUCCAUUUUUCCCUUCAGAGAGCACUGAUGCUCUCUGUAAGCUCAGAAGUGCAUUCCCUAGAGAUCCUGUCCAUGGACCAUAGGCCUGGUCACUGAAGACCUUUGCUGAUCAGUGUUUGGCCUCCAUCAGUAUUCCAUAAGGAUAACCCAUCAGAGAUAAUCUCUGUAUGUAUGUUAUCUCCCCAAGUCCCUAGACCCUACCCUGUCUAGGACAACUUCUCUUUCACUGGUCUCUAGUACCAGCACCGGCCUUUUAUUCCUGUUCACUCCAAGGGUCUUCACCUAAAAUUAAGCCCAGGGUGAGGGGUUAUUCCUUAUGCACAGAAGAUUUUACUUUCAAAUAUCAGAUUCUCUGAGAUAGUGGAACUCAGAGCAGAGGGGCAAGUUUUGGUAACUUUUGGGAGAAAGGAAAGGAAACAGUAACACUCAUUGUUUUGAGCACCAUAUAUUAGUGAAAAUAAUAUGUAUGUUAAUACCAUAGUAGAUCAUUCUGCAAUGAUUUAGUUCUUUCACCACUUCGGUGAUGUAAGUUCUUCAGCCACCAUACCAUGCUCAAUAAGGAAAGAGGUAAAUCCUGGCUUCCCACCCCAUGAGGAUUUGCCUCUUCCUAGACUGCAAUACUGCUUCACUGUUAAGAGGGAAGAGGUCCUUCAGUGACUGGUAGUUCUGAUCAAAGUCUUCUGAGAGGGUGUUCACUUAUCCCUUGGCCUCAAGAUAUCUAACAUGAACUAUUUCUAUGUUUCUAAUAGAAACUAGCUCUUCCUUGAUGUCACUUACCUCCUUCAAUCCUUUUAAAUGGAGGAGGUGUUUUCUUCUAACUUUCUUACCUCAGAACCUAGAAGUGGGAUAAAUAUGUUCCCCUUUACCGCCAUUGUUUCCUAUUGAUUCCAAUGAAAUAAAGUCUAGAGAAUGUCAUCCA